RNAcentral lists this small RNA (296 nucleotides) under Kaistia hirudinis. RNAcentral describes it as "5' ureB small RNA". It matches the Rfam family "5' ureB small RNA". Lineage: Bacteria; Pseudomonadati; Pseudomonadota; Alphaproteobacteria; Hyphomicrobiales; Kaistiaceae. The record is from Rfam by way of RNAcentral.
CCGCCUGCGCCUGCUGGGGCGAGAUGUAGUGGACGUGCGCGUCGAUGCCGCCCGCGGUCAGGAUCAGGUGCUCGCCCGAGAUGGCGUCGGUGCCCGGCCCGAGCGCGAGGCCCGGCGUGACGCCCGACAUGGUCGACGGGUUGCCGGCCUUGCCGAUGCCGCAGACGAGGCCGUUCUUGAUGCCGACAUCGGCCUUGAUGACGCCCUGGACCGCGUCGAGGAUGGUGACGUUCGUGAUCACCAGAUCCGGCGCGCCGGCAGCGCUGGUGAGCUCGUUGUCAUAGCCCAUGCCGUCG